CUUUAAGAGGGUGGGUAGGAUAAUUACACAGGUGUUUAAAGUCUCGCGACACUGAGAAUCUAUCGUUUGAUCCCGUUCCCUCUGGUAUGUGUGUGCGUUGGAAGGACUGCUGCGACUAGUCUGUUAUACGAUCUUGUUAAAAAUUAUCGUUCUAUUUCGUUUCCUCUGGUAUGCCUGUGCCCUAAAGGUCGCUGUGGAUACUCUGCCUCUUCAAUUUGGUGGAGUUAGCGACUUUAGUGAUUGCUGGGCAUUCUUAAGGGGUGUCCUGUAUCAGGUAAAGAUGCUGCAGUGGUGUUUUAAGAGUUGAACGUAUAAUUACGAGAUAUCGUGUAAAUUAAGUGUGUUGCUACAGUUCCUAAAAGUAGACGCACCGCUUUCCAGAACAGGAUGUGUAGCAAAUAACCAAUUGCUCGAUAACACCUGAUAUCACUAGCCAGCUUCGUUCAUAUUGGACAAAGGGGUAAAAGCUUCUCUUCAAAUGAGGUAGCCAGGUUAAUCUGGCUGUUUUAAAAGGAGGAGUACUUUUGGCUGUUGAUUGGGCAACCACUGUUUCUUUCCUUUUGUAUUUUUCCAUUUAUUUUCUUUUUAAGUUUGAUCUCCCUCUACUUGGGUUUGCGCUGUGGGUUUGUGUAGGAAUUGAGUUCUUGUGUAUUGGGUGUUUGCUUAUUUGUUUAUUCUUUGGAUUUGAGGUGCGAUCGGAAUAUUUUUCAUACAGGUUUAUUUUUGAUGUGAUUUUUGUGUUUAAUUCUUUUUUUAAUAAAUGCCAGAACCCAUUCCUUUAUGCCCAGUGGGUGUUUAAAUCUGAACCAGUAGGGGGGGAAUCUGUUGACAGUCUUUUUAUAUGUGAAGCUCGUAUUUUAUCAUUGCUGUUAAAUAAAUUGUAAACUCCUUUGUACUCUGGCUUCUAAUUCAUUCACUUGAAUUGCUUGAGCGGGUUGUCUUAUUUCUCCCACUAAGUUGCUAAAGUGGGGGUGGCGUAGUCACUCUUAGGAUAUAAAUUCCUAAUUUGGAUAAUUCAACUAUGGUUCACAUGCCUUUGGUCACAUAAGGAUCAGGAUCUCAUCUCAUAUCAGUAUUUCACAAUACUUUUUCUCCUUCCUGACUGAUUUACUAAUACAGUGUUGCUGCGUACAUAAAUGAAGAAGCCUCCCUCUGCUGGUCAGAUUGUGUUGUCAGAAAUUAAAAACAAAAAACGUAUAAAUUCAAAAAGAAACCAUCUAAAUGUUUUUGAAAAAUAAAAAUAUUUACUACUUGAA
This is a long non-coding RNA of Tachysurus fulvidraco (yellow catfish), 1256 nucleotides long. RefSeq lists it as uncharacterized. Lineage: Eukaryota; Metazoa; Chordata; Actinopteri; Siluriformes; Bagridae. The transcript has 3 exons. The record is from RefSeq and is a predicted model, not a curated record.